AGAGUUUGAUCCUGGCUCAGGAUGAACGCCGGCGGUGUGCCUAAUACAUGCAAGUCGAACGCGUUGGCCCAACUGAUUGAUUGUGCUUGCACAGGAUUGACGUUGGUUUCCCAACGAGUGGCGGACGGGUGAGUAACACGUAGGCAACCUGCCCCGAAGCGGGGGACAACAUUUGGAAACAAGUGCUAAUACCGCAUAACAACUUUGACCGCCUGGUCAAAGCUUAAAAGAUGGUUUCGGCUAUCACUUCGGGAUGGGCCUGCGGCGCAUUAGCUUGUUGGUGGGGUAACGGCCUACAAAGGCGAUGAUGCGUAGCCGAGUUGAGAGACUGAUCGGCCACAAUGGGACUGAGACACGGCCCAUACUCCUACGGGAGGCAGCAGUAGGGAAUCUUCCACAAUGGGCGCAAGCCUGAUGGAGCAACACCGCGUGAGUGAAGAAGGGUUUCGGCUCGUAAAGCUCUGUUGUUGAAGAAGAAUGUGCAAGAGAGUAACUGUUCUUGUAUUGACGGUAUUCAACCAGAAAGUCACGGCUAACUACGUGCCAGCAGCCGCGGU
RNAcentral lists this ribosomal RNA (557 nucleotides) under uncultured chicken cecal bacterium. RNAcentral describes it as "bacterial SSU rRNA". It matches the Rfam family "Bacterial small subunit ribosomal RNA", at positions 8 to 521 of the family's 1533-position model. The record is from RNAcentral.